This is a long non-coding RNA of Canis lupus familiaris (dog), 2130 nucleotides long. RefSeq lists it as uncharacterized. The transcript has 6 exons. The record is from RefSeq and is a predicted model, not a curated record. NCBI's taxonomy places the organism in Eukaryota, Metazoa, Chordata, Mammalia, Carnivora, Canidae.
UAAAUAAAUCUUUAAAAAAUGUGCAAAGAGCUCUUAAAACUCGACAGUAAAAUAAACAACCUAAUUUAAAAAAUGGGCAAAACCCAAAAAGACACCACCCCGAAGAAGAUAAACAGAUGGUAAAUACACAUAUGAAAGAAUGCUCCUCAUCAUAUGUCAUUAGAAAAUUGCAAAUGAAAACAACAAUGAGAUAGCACCACAUUCCUAUAUUCUAAGCCAUUCUAGGCCGAGACAUGGAACACCAACAACAGCAAAUGCUGUGAGGACAAGGAACGAUAGGAUUGGUUGUUGGUGGAAAUGCAAAGUGGUUCAGUCACUUUGGAAGACGGUUUGGCAGUUUCUUACAGAACUAAACAUGCUCUUACCAUAUGAUCCGGCACUUGCACUCCUUGGUAUUUACCCACAUGAGCUGAGAAGUUAUGUCCACACAAAGCUUGCAUGUGGGUAUUUAUAGAAGUUCUACUCAUAAUUGCCAAAACCUGUAAACAACCAAGAUGUCCUUCGGUAGGUGAAUGGAUAAGUAAACUAGUAUGCCCAAACAAUAAAGUUUUAUUCAGCACUAAAAAGAAAUGAGCUGUCAAGCUAUAGAAAGACAUGGAGAAAACUUAAGUGCACAUGCCUAAAUGAAAAGUCAAACUGAAAAGGCUACAUACUGUAUGGUUCCAACUAUAGGACAUUCUGAAGGAAAAGGCAAAGUCAUGGAAACAAUAAAAAGAUAGGGGUUGGCAGGAGGGAGGGAUAAAUAGAGCGCCAAGGAUUUUGGGGAGUAGUGAAACCAUUUUGGGUGAUACUGGAAUCGUGGAUACAUGUCAUCUUAUGUUUGUUCAAACCCAUAGAAUGUACACCAAGAGUGAUCCCAAUAUAAACUACUGGCUUUGAGUGAUAACGAUGUCUCAGUGUAGGUCCAUGGAUUAGAGCAAAGGCACCAUUCUCUAGGGACAUGUUUAUGGUGGAGGAGGCUGUGCCUGUGGCUGGGGGGAGGAGGGAUGAGGGGAUAUGUGGAAAAUCUCUGUACUUUGCACGCAAGUUUGCUUUGGCCCUCAAACUGCUCUAAAAAUUAAGUCUUUAGAAAAUACAAGUAGCAUAGGUUUUUGAGGUGACCUUGUGUGGAAGUUCUUUGACAUUAUAAAAGACAUCAUCACCACAUCCUGAGAAGACUAACAUUCAGCUUCAUAGAAGAGGGAGGCAAGAACCAUCGGUGGUGAGGCCCAACUCCAGUGGCCAUGACGAGCCUUUGCCAAAGCCUCGCUGUAAGAACCGUGCCUUGUCAGCCUGUUCAGAGCUGUUGAGUUAGCAGCCCCUGGAAGAUGCCACGUGGCACUUUUGCUCAUAUCCCAUGGUCCAGUAUUUAAGCUUAUGGCUGCCCCACCUACAAAGAAGUCUGGAAGAUGUAGUCUCUACCCUGCAUGGCCAAAUGAUCUUCCAAAAAUCAGAGUGUCCAUCGGCGUGCAGGAAGUAGAGAGGGAAUAUCGGAAUGAGAGUGCUUAACAGAAGAAUCUCAACCGUGUUCAUUUUAUAGUUGAAGAGUCUGGGAGAGACCUGUUGACCCUGUGCAUACACAAUGACUGCUCCAGGGCUUGCUUCAGCUACAAAUGAGCAGAUGUGGAGAAAAGCCACGAGUCCUUUGAAAACCAAGGAGGAGCCACAGGCCACUUUGGGGUGGACGGGCUGUAUCGCAUUGUGAGAACUACAAGAAGCAGAGAGCAAUGCAGCUUAUAGCAGGAGGGGUGAAAGAAAGAAAAAGAAAAGGAAGGAAAGAAGGAAGCAAGAAAAACAUUUAGAGAAUGCCUAGCCUGUCUCUAGAAAUCCUAAGGAGGCUGAAUUAAUCCCUUCCAAAGUCGCACAGGACUACUGCCGCUAUCACUAGACAAGCCUGGGACAGACUCUUGGAGGAUGAAGGAUCACAAGGAGUGAUCAACUGUCCCAGCUGAGGCCAAUCUAGACCAGUCUACAGCGAGCCCUUGCACAGAUAUGUGUGAAAACCCAAACAAGAGCAGCACAUUUGCUUACUGAGUCCACUGUUGACCACAGAUACACCACUAAGUCAGCUGAAACCAGAACUGAUAGGGUAUGUCCAGUUUAUGCCCAUUCAUAAACUCCUGAGCAAUAAUAAAUGCUUUUUAAAGCCAA